This 543-nucleotide ribosomal RNA is filed under the name uncultured bacterium. RNAcentral describes it as "partial 16S ribosomal RNA". It matches the Rfam family "Bacterial small subunit ribosomal RNA", at positions 338 to 876 of the family's 1533-position model. The record is from RNAcentral.
CCUACGGGAGGCAGCAGGGGGGUUUUUUGGAGAAGGGCGGGGGGGUUUUUUCCACAAUGGGGGGAAACACGAGGAGGCCACCGCGUGAGAGAGAUAAUUUUUCUGGGGAUAAAAAACUUUUUUUUAUGGGCAGAAAAAGACGGUACCCCAGGAGGAAGCCCCGGGUAAAUAUGUGCCACAGCCCGCGGUAAUAUAUAGGUGGCGAGCGUUUUUCUGGAAUUUUCUGGGUGAAAAGCGUGUAGGCGGGGUUUUAAAUCUGAUGUGAAAUAUCCCGGGUUUACCCCGGGGGUUCAUUUGAAACAGUGUGUCUAGAGUGUUGGAGAGGGAAGUGGAAUUCCCCGUGUAGCGGUGAAAAGCGUAGAGAUUUGGAGGAACACCAGUGGGGAAGGGGGCUUUCUGGGCUGUAAAUGACGCUGAGGCGCGAAAAAGUGGGGAGCAAACACGAUUAGAUACCCCGGUAGUCCCCGCCCUAAACGAUGGAUACUAGGUGUUGGAGGAAUUGACCCCCUCAGUGCCGCAGUUAACACAAUAAGAUCCGCCUGG